CAUGUAACAGGAUUUAUUUACCCAUUUAAUCCAACUCUCAUUACUAGUGUGAGUUGAAUAUGUUGUUUAUAUGGUUGAAGUUGUUUCAUAUACUUACUAUCUGAACAAAUAAUUUGAUUUUUUCAUAAAUUCACAGCAAUAAUUUGAUUUGUUGAAUAAAGUGACAAAUCAACACAAACUAAUUGACCUAACACUGUACAGGAAAUGCUUGGAAGUUGGAACCAUGCCCAAGUCAGCUUCCAAAAUAACUUGAAACUCCAAUCUGACUUCAACUCUCAGCCCCCCUAUUACUCAGUUCACAUAGCGUGCAGGGGAUAGUCGAUGACGAAGGCCACGAAGCUCGAGAAGUCUAAAAAAUACAUGCACAGUCCAAGGCACCUGAAGGUUGUCACUGUACAGCUGGCAGCCUGAAGACGACAAAACCACCUGGUACUUGGUUAGACCUCUUUGAUGAACAAGUAUCUCAUGAACCGUGAUAUUCAAGCAGGACUCGGCUGGAAUAAUUUCCUCGCAAAAGGAACUCAGAGACGUACCCUCCUACAAAAUUUUAUCAGCUGUCGGUUGAGCAAUAAACUAUGUAGUUUGGCUGUUCUUACAAACUUACCAAGCUCAGAAGAGAUCCAAGGUCGUUCCAGUCGAACUAAGAUUGAAGCAUAAUUGCUUCCUUGAGAAGACAUCCAAGCAUCCAAGUCUCUGCAAAACCAUGCGACAAAUUGAACUUAAAGGAUCACCAAGUUGACAAAUAAUUAGAGAACAGCAAAAAGAAAUUACGCUCUUGCCUUUCUGUGAAGCUCUUUCACUAGCUAAUAGCUUGUACGUACCUGCUGCAUUGACAUAGAUACCAUCAGAUUUUAGACCGAACAGUUACCGGUGUUGCUCCACGAGAGCUUCAAAACGUUUGUGAAGAUCCUGGCCAUGAUUUCCAUGUGUCAAGUUCAGAAGUACACUGAGAAACAAGUAGAACCACAUAGGUAACAAAACUUAAAAACAGAAUCAGACAAGUCUUACAAUGGACAUCUUGCAUCAGACACAUCAUGCGUCUAGCAGGAAGCUUGCUAUCUGAAACCUCCUGG
RNAcentral lists this long non-coding RNA (1073 nucleotides) under Linum usitatissimum (flax). RNAcentral's name for it is "long non-coding RNA (LUSI_LNC005431)". The record is from RNAcentral. Lineage: Eukaryota; Viridiplantae; Streptophyta; Magnoliopsida; Malpighiales; Linaceae.